This is a long non-coding RNA of Carassius carassius (crucian carp), 439 nucleotides long. RefSeq lists it as uncharacterized. The transcript has 3 exons. The record is from RefSeq and is a predicted model, not a curated record. Lineage: Eukaryota; Metazoa; Chordata; Actinopteri; Cypriniformes; Cyprinidae.
CAUAUGCUGACAAGGCCUGGAUGUGCCAGUCUGUCUGUGGGUCCUUCAAGCCCAGCUAAUACACACAGAGUGCAGGCAAACAAUGGGGCCUUAGCGGUGGAUAAAGAAGGCAGUCUAGAUGCCUGACGUCUGGGAAGCUCACAGACACAGGCGUGUUUAACCCUUUCUGGGAAUGAAUGGGCUCAGAGCCUGCUAAACAGAUGGUGGAGUGUAAAUGGUGUCGGGUCCAACGUGUGUGACGUCAACACCGCGUGAAGAAUGAGGGUGACGGAGAGGGUUAAAGGCAUAAAUAAUGGAGUCGGGCGUCUGUGUAACUCACACCCGGAGAAAACCCCACCACAGCACCACUCCACCGAAGGCUGGACUUCAUGUUUUAAUUCAGAAACCGCUGGAAGGCGUCCAAAAGCAGGUCCACAGACCUCGCAGUGUGUCAGCGAUU